AGGGUUUGAUCAUGGCUCAGAUUGAACGCUAGCGGCAUGCUUAACACAUGCAAGUCGAACGGUAGCAGGUCUAGCUUGCUAGAUGCUGACGAGUGGCGGACGGGUGAGUAACGCGUAGGAAUCUACCUUGUAGUGGGGGAUAACCUGGGGAAACCCAGGCUAAUACCGCAUGAGACCUAAGGGAGAAAGCAGGGGACCGAAAGGCCUUGUGCUAUAAGAUGAGCCUGCGUCGGAUUAGCUAGUUGGUAGGGUAAAGGCCUACCAAGGCGAGGAUCCGUAGCUGGUCUGAGAGGACGACCAGCCACACUGGGACUGAGACACGGCCCAGACUCCUACGGGAGGCAGCAGUGGGGAAUAUUGGACAAUGGGCGCAAGCCUGAUCCAGCAAUGCCGCGUGUGUGAAGAAGGCCUGCGGGUUGUAAAGCACUUUCAGUGGGGAGGAAGGCCUCAGUGUUAAUAGUACUGAGGAUUGACGUUACCCAAAGAAGAAGCACCGGCUAACUCUGUGCCAGCAGCCGCGGUAAUACAGAGGGUGCGAGCGUUAAUCGGAAUUACUGGGCGUAAAGGGCGCGUAGGUGGUUAAUUAAGUCAGAUGUGAAAUCCCUGGGCUUAACCUAGGAAUGGCAUAUGAAACUGAUUAGCUAGAGGACGGGAGAGGGAAGUGGAAUUUCCGGUGUAGCGGUGAAAUGCGUAGAUAUCGGAAGGAACACCAGUGGCGAAGGCGACUUCCUGGCCCGUAACUGACACUGAGGCGCGAAAGCGUGGGGAGCGAACAGGAUUAGAUACCCUAGUAGUCC
RNAcentral lists this ribosomal RNA (797 nucleotides) under uncultured bacterium. RNAcentral's name for it is "bacterial SSU rRNA". It matches the Rfam family "Bacterial small subunit ribosomal RNA", at positions 8 to 796 of the family's 1533-position model. The record is from RNAcentral.